GCUGGCGGCGUGCUUAACACAUGCAAGUGGAGCGACGAACCAGGGCUUGCCCUGGGGCAAAGCCGCGAACGGGUGAGUAACACGUGGGUUACCUGCCCCGAUGAUUGGGACAACCCGAGGAAACUCGAGCUAAUACCAAAUGUGCUCCUGGCCGUAAUGGCCUUGAGGAAAGGAAGCUUCGGCCUCCGCAUCGGGAUGGGCCCGCGGCCCAUUAGCUUGUUGGUGGGGUAAUGGCCUACCAAGGCGACGAUGGGUAGCUGGUCUGAGAGGACGAUCAGCCACACUGGGACUGAGACACGGCCCAGACUCCUACGGGAGGCAGCAGUGGGGAAUCUUGCGCAAUGCGCGAAAGCGUGACGCAGCAACGCCGCGUGGGGGAAGAAGGCUUUCGGGUUGUAAACCCCUUUCAGUUGGGACGAAGCUCCGUCGGUGAAUAGCCGGCUGGAGUGACGGUACCUUCACAAGAAGCACCGGCUAACUAC
This 482-nucleotide ribosomal RNA is filed under the name uncultured soil bacterium. Its description in RNAcentral is "bacterial SSU rRNA". It matches the Rfam family "Bacterial small subunit ribosomal RNA", at positions 35 to 504 of the family's 1533-position model. The record is from RNAcentral.